CUGGCUCCCUUUUCUGGGAUGAUGGUGAAUCCAUUGACUCCAUCGAGAAGGAGGACUUCUUCUAUGUAGACUACAAGUUCAGUCAAUACACGUUGAAGAUGAAGGUGCUGAACAAUGGCUUUCAAGGCAUCACCACGCUGGCCUACGGCACCAUCCAAAUCCUAGGCUUCACCACCAGGCCCCAAGUGGUGUCCAUGAAUGGAAACACCAUC
Molecule: long non-coding RNA, 212 nt
Organism: Suncus etruscus (white-toothed pygmy shrew)
Lineage: Eukaryota; Metazoa; Chordata; Mammalia; Eulipotyphla; Soricidae
Exons: 3
Source: RefSeq, a predicted model, not a curated record